AGCGGUUGUUAGCGAUUGACACCA
This 24-nucleotide non-coding RNA is filed under the name Arabidopsis thaliana (thale cress). Lineage: Eukaryota; Viridiplantae; Streptophyta; Magnoliopsida; Brassicales; Brassicaceae. The record is from RNAcentral.